UGGGGAAUCUUCCGCAAUGGACGAAAGUCUGACGGAGCAACGCCGCGUGAGUGAAGACGGCCUUCGGGUUGUAAAGCUCUGUGAUUCGGGACGAAAGGCCAUAUGUGAAUAAUAUAUGGAAAUGACGGUACCGAAAAAGCAAGCCACGGCUAACUACGUGCCAGCAGCCGCGGUAAUACGUAGGUGGCAAGCGUUGUCCGGAAUUAUUGGGCGUAAAGCGCGCGCAGGCGGUCACUUAAGUCCAUCUUAGAAGUGCGGGGCUUAACCCCGUGAUGGGAUGGAAACUGGGAGACUGGAGUAUCGGAGAGGAAAGUGGAAUUCCUAGUGUAGCGGUGAAAUGCGUAGAUAUUUGGAAGAACACCGGUGGCGAAGGCGACUUUCUGGACGAAAACUGACGCUGAGGCGCGAAAGCGUGGGGAGCAAACAGG
RNAcentral lists this ribosomal RNA (428 nucleotides) under bacterium. RNAcentral's name for it is "partial 16S ribosomal RNA". It matches the Rfam family "Bacterial small subunit ribosomal RNA", at positions 355 to 776 of the family's 1533-position model. The record is from RNAcentral.